GUGACGUAAGCCGAGCGGUUAAGGCACUUGGUUGUGACCCAAGGUUUGGCGGGUUCGACUCCCGUACGUCACCCC
This 75-nucleotide transfer RNA is filed under the name Streptomyces phage Wofford. RNAcentral's name for it is "tRNA-His". It matches the Rfam family "tRNA". From Rfam's summary of the family: Transfer RNA (tRNA) molecules are approximately 80 nucleotides in length. Lineage: Duplodnaviria; Heunggongvirae; Uroviricota; Caudoviricetes; Stanwilliamsviridae. RNAcentral also lists the same sequence under 1 other name. The record is from RNAcentral.